AGCAAUCUACCUUGGAGUGGGGAAUAACACAGUGAAAACUGUGCUAAUACCGCAUAAUACAACUGUGUCGCAUGGCAGUGGUUGUCAAAGAUUUAUCGCUCUGAGAUGAGCUCGCGUCUGAUUAGCUAGUAGGCGGGGUAAAGGCCCACCUAGGCGACGAUCAGUAGCCGGACUGAGAGGUUGGCCGGCCACAUUGGGACUGAGACACGGCCCAGACUCCUACGGGAGGCAGCAG
RNAcentral lists this ribosomal RNA (235 nucleotides) under uncultured bacterium. RNAcentral's name for it is "partial 16S ribosomal RNA". It matches the Rfam family "Bacterial small subunit ribosomal RNA", at positions 120 to 354 of the family's 1533-position model. The record is from RNAcentral.